This 1133-nucleotide long non-coding RNA is filed under the name Homo sapiens (human). RNAcentral describes it as "HSALNT0250376". Lineage: Eukaryota; Metazoa; Chordata; Mammalia; Primates; Hominidae. The record is from RNAcentral.
CAUUUCUGAAAUCUGUUGGAUGAAGAAGAAUCAGAGCUCACCAAGAAAAAUGAGCUUCUAGAAAAGCAAAUGCAAUUUUGACAGAAGGCAGAGAAGGCCCCCUCCCUCCGGUGGAAAGAAAGGUCAUCCUUGGAACUGUCCUACAAAUGAACUGUGUGUCUUAGAUGACACCAACAUCUUUCCCAGUAUAGUGUCCAUAUACGGAGCUUUCACUCAAGAAUGUUUUGAGUGGCAUCCACAAUGUCAGUGCAAGUAAUGGUAUGAUUAAAAUAAUUAAAACCAAGUCAAGGUAAAUCAGACAUUGUAACGAUAUCCCCUAUGACCCAUCACUGCAGAGUUAAGAAGUCUGGACAGGUUUCAGGGAAGAGAAGGGAGAAAAUUCUUGAGGUUUCAGGGAAGAGAAGGGAGAAAAUUCUUGAGGUGAAAAAUGAUUAGGACCCUAGGAAGUGUAUCAGGGCUUUGAGGUACAACUGAUAGAGGAGGAGGCCAAGAUUGUGGUGAUAAAUCCCAUUUACCUGCGGCUUUUAGGAGAGCCAUUCCAGUUUUCUUCUAUUUACGUAUAGAUAAGAAUUUCUUUUAUGUGUGCAUUAAAAAAGAAAAAAAAGAAACCACUAUUACUUAAAUAAAAAGCCAACACUCUCACCGUCACCUCUCAUCUAAGAAUUAUUUUAGAAACUUGUUAAAAAUGCAAAGGCCACACUUUUAGAGAUUCUAGUUCAGAGAUCUGAAGUGGGUGUCCAAAAACAUGUUUUGUUGUUUUGUUUUAUUCUUUGUUUAAAUAAACCCUUUGGUUGAUAUUGAUAAUGGUGGUCCCAGACCACACUUGGAGAAAUACCUCUCAGGAAGCUCUAUGUUUUCAAAUUAAGAUUCACACUCAUCUCUCAAUACUUCCAACACAUUUUAUGUCCUGGAGCUCUCCUUUAUCUAAUGCAGGUCUUCUUGCCUUCCUUGAACAUAUAAGAAAUCUUAUUUAUUGGCUACAAACAAAAUCAACUUCCACCAUUUUACCAAUAUGAGAAAUCUAUCUCCAUAAAGAUUUGUUAAUUAUUUGUUUGUGUAGCUUUUAUAUAAUAGAGGCUUUGCUUAUGAAUAUUUACAUAAUUCUGUAUCUCUGUAAUUGAGAUUGUGCCUAC